GGCAGCCCCGUCACAUUCAGCGCUGUCCGCUGCAGUUGGUGGUGGCCCAGCCAAUUGCUACAGAAAUACCUACAGCUCAUGGGCCCUGUGUUGUGGGGGCACAGGAUGGUUUGGGUGGGAAGGGACCU
Chroicocephalus ridibundus (black-headed gull) is the source of this 128-nucleotide small nucleolar RNA. RefSeq annotates it as small nucleolar RNA SNORA5. NCBI's taxonomy places the organism in Eukaryota, Metazoa, Chordata, Aves, Charadriiformes, Laridae. The transcript has a single exon. The record is from RefSeq and is a predicted model, not a curated record.